Molecule: ribosomal RNA, 561 nt
Filed under: uncultured bacterium
Lineage: Bacteria
Description: bacterial SSU rRNA
Rfam family: Bacterial small subunit ribosomal RNA
Source: RNAcentral
CCUACGGGAGGCAGCAGUGAGGAAUAUUGCCCAAUGGACGCAAGUCUGAGGCAGCAACGCCGCGUGGGCGACGAAGGCCUUCGGGUUGUAAAGCCCUUUUCUGGGGGACGAGAAAGGACGGUACCUCAGGAAUAAGUCACGGCUAACUACGUGCCAGCAGCCGCGGUAAUACGUAGGUGGCUAGCGUUAUCCGGAUUCACUGGGCGUAAAGCGCGUGCAGGCGGUUCCGUAAGUCGGACGUGAAAGCUCCUGGCUUAACUGGGAGAGGUCGUUCGAUACUGCGGGGCUUGAGGUCGGGAGAGGGACGUGGAAUUCCCGGUGUAGUGGUGGAAUGCGUAGAUAUCGGGAGGAACACCAGUGGCGAAGGCGGCGUCCUGGCCCGCACCUGACGCUAAGACGCGAAAGCGUGGGUAGCGAACGGGAUUAGAUACCCCGGUAGUCCACGCUGUAAACGGUGGAUACUAGGUGUUGGUGGCUAUCGUCAUCAGUGCCGUAGCUAACGCGUUAAGUAUCCCGCCUGGGGACUACGGCCGCAAGGUUAAAACUUAAAGGAAUUGACGG